RNAcentral lists this ribosomal RNA (253 nucleotides) under uncultured bacterium. RNAcentral describes it as "partial 16S ribosomal RNA". It matches the Rfam family "Bacterial small subunit ribosomal RNA", at positions 524 to 776 of the family's 1533-position model. The record is from RNAcentral.
UACGGAGGUUCCAAGCGUUGUUCGGAAUUACUGGGCGUAAAGGGAGCGCAGGCGGGUCAGUAAGUCUAAAGUGGAAUCCCGGGGCUCAACCUCGGACGUGCUUUGGAUACUGCUGGUCUUGAGUUCGCGAGAGGAAAGCGGAAUUCAGGGUGUAGCGGUGAAAUGCUUAGAUAUCCUGAGGAACACCAAUGGCGAAGGCAGCUUUCUGGCGCGUUACUGACGCUGAGGCUCGAAAGCGUGGGGAGCGAACGGG